Molecule: ribosomal RNA, 409 nt
Filed under: uncultured bacterium
Lineage: Bacteria
Description: bacterial SSU rRNA
Rfam family: Bacterial small subunit ribosomal RNA
Source: RNAcentral
AGCGAACGCUGGCGGCAGGCUUAACACAUGCAAGUCGAGCGGGCGUAGCAAUACGUCAGCGGCAGACGGGUGAGUAACGCGUGGGAACAUACCUUUUGGUUCGGAACAACACAGGGAAACUUGUGCUAAUACCGGAUAAGCCCUUACUGGGAAAGAUUUAUCGCCGAAAGAUUGGCCCGCGUCUGAUUAGCUAGUUGGUGAGGUAACGGCUCACCAAGGCGACGAUCAGUAGCNGGUCUGAGAGGAUGAUCAGCCACAUUGGGACUGAGACACGGCCCAAACUCCUACGGGAGGCAGCAGUGGGGAAUAUUGGACAAUGGGCGCAAGCCUGAUCCAGCCAUGCCGCGUGAGUGAUGAAGGCCCUAGGGUUGUAAAGCUCUUUUGUGCGGGAAGAUAAUGACGGUACCGC